Molecule: long non-coding RNA, 554 nt
Filed under: Pan troglodytes (chimpanzee)
Lineage: Eukaryota; Metazoa; Chordata; Mammalia; Primates; Hominidae
Description: long non-coding RNA NONPTRT011762
Source: RNAcentral
GUCCAAGCCUCUGCACGUGCUGGCUUGUUUGGCUUUAUUUUGGAAACAAACCAACAUCUCUCAUUAGCACUGACACAGCAGGGGCCCCCUACUGCCACCUGACAAUCCAGCGUCACUUACGCUGCACCCAUGCAGGCCACGCCUUCAGUGGCCGCAGCACGCUAGCCCAGAGUUAGCCACACAGAAACACACUUCUCACCGCACAAAACUCCCUUUUGAAAAAACCAAGCAAUCACCAGGUCGGAGGAGAAUCACUAGCUCCCUACAGCAAGAGGGGACAAAGCUUGGUGGCAGAGGCCCAGGUCCCUGUGGCCCCUCCCGGUGGGGUGAAGGUGACCAGGACUCCUUGGGAUUGCGCGGCUGCAGCCGGGACGCUGCCAGGGCCUCCUCUGCGGCUGAGAGAUGGAAGGGAUCCUUCCCGACGCCCACAGAUAUCUCCCCACAAACCUAAACAAUUUCGAGAGGGACUUGUGUUCUGCAACCAGUCACAGAAUAUCAGGUGAGCUGGGCGUGUCUUCACCGACCCACCCGCCCAGGGACGCUGCACUCCUCUC